CAGAGCUGGCUCCAUUUUCAAGCCGGGACAGGAAGGGAACUCUGCUGAGCUCCGCAGCCAGAGCUGAUCGAGAGAACAUUGUGGGCACGGCUGCUGAUCUUGAACUUUCUGCUCUGUUCUGCUGCUCCGCGGUUCCGGGGGACCUUCAGCUCCUGCUCUCUAGCUCCUGUGCUCCUGUUGCUCCUGCACUUCAGCUUCUGCCAGCUCCUAUGAUCUCUCAACCCUGCUGAACCUGCUCAGCACGGAAUCAACAACAUCCAAUCCUCGGAGGUCCGGACAAUGCCCUAAACUCCAAUAAUACUUUGAAACUCUGCCGAACUGCUUGGAACAGUGAGUAACCAACAGACUCUUUAUUUAGAGACUGACUGACUUCUCAAGACUCAAAGAACUCUCUUAAAAUCAAAGACUCUCUUUAUUUAGCUGCUUCUAUGACUGUGGACCAAGGAAUCUACAGGGGAUAGUCAUAAAUAGGUUCGGGGAAGGGGAUUUCUCAUACUUUAGUAAUAAAUCAUACAACUUCUUUUA
Molecule: long non-coding RNA, 525 nt
Organism: Pogoniulus pusillus (Red-fronted tinkerbird)
Lineage: Eukaryota; Metazoa; Chordata; Aves; Piciformes; Lybiidae
Exons: 3
Source: RefSeq, a predicted model, not a curated record